Molecule: long non-coding RNA, 583 nt
Filed under: Marmota monax (woodchuck)
Lineage: Eukaryota; Metazoa; Chordata; Mammalia; Rodentia; Sciuridae
Source: RNAcentral
ACAAGACAUGCUGAGGCAUGGGAAACACUUGGGCAACCUAGACAGACCUCACUUUUGAAUAGGCAAGCAAAAAGAGAGUUUUCCAUGGCAAAGAAAGAAAGGAGAGGAAAGCAAGAAAUGUGCCCCACCCCAUUAAGAAAGAAAUAAAGAUACCAAAUAAAAGGGAAGAGAAUGGAGAAGAGAGGAACCACAGUUAGUUCAAGAUGUGUAUGGGUUCCAUCAGGAAAGUACAAAUGGAGCUACCUGGGCAGGUGUGGUGGCAUACAUCCACAAUUCUACCUGUAAUCUCAGGGUGAGGUAGGAGGAUGGCAAGUUUAAUGCCAGCAUCAGCGAUUUAGGGAUACCCUCUCUCAAAAUAAAUAAAAAUGAAGAGGACUGGGGAUGUGACCCAGUGGUCAGGCAACCCUGGGAAAGAAAUGAAAAGAAAAGAAGGAAGGAAGGGGGAGAGAGGGAGGAACAGACAGGAAGGAGAGAGAGAGAGAGAGAGAGAAGGCCAUAUAAACACAUAAUCAGUCCCACACUACAUAGUUCCCCACCAUAAGCGACGAUGGGGGGUGGGAGAUAAGAGUAGAUUAAAAAAAAA